GCUGGUUUUAUGAUAGGUCUACCCAGGAAGAGCUGUUUAUAUGAUAUGUCUUCCCAGGAAGAGCUGUUUAUAUGAUAGGUCUAAACAGGAAGAGCUGGUUUUAUGAUAGGUCUAACCAGGAAGAGCUGUUUAUAUGAUAGGUCUAAACAGGAAGAGCUGGUUUUAUGUUAGGUCUAACCAGGAAGUGCUGUUUAUAUGAUAGGUCUAACCAGGAAGUGCUGUUUAUAGUGCAUAGAGAGAACAUUGGAACAGUAAAUCUUUGGUAACCAUAGCGCUGCCAUCGUCACCAUGUUUACUUUGUGAGUCACUGCCCAUUCCCAGAGGUUUCAUCAGUUCAGUUGACACAACAUCCCGUCGUCCCUCACUUGUAUCAAUAUCGUUCCUAUCUGACAGCGAACGUCAUUCAGAAACGUUAACCGUGUGUAGAGGUUGUGUAAACGGUAAAGUUUAUCUAGCUAUUGUGUGUCAGUUUACACGGAGGUGAGGGUGGUCGAUCCUACAGAGUUAAACAGCAGACCGUUAUCUUUUAAUAACGUGUUAGUUAGACUAACCCAGAGUCACAGGGAAAGGAAGCAGUGUUGGUUGUGGUGUUGUAGGGACAUGCUUGUUUUUGCACCAACUGUUCAACUAACUUAGUGUGUGUGUGUGUGUGUGUGUGUGUGUGUGUGUGUGUGUGUGUGUGUGUGUGUGUGUGUGUGUGUGUGUGUGUGUGUGUGUGUGUGUGUGUGUGUGUGUGUGUGUGUGUGUGUGUGUGUGUGUGUGCACACGAACACUUGUGUAUAUGUGUAGAGGUCGGCAGGGGGCCACACGACUAACCGUUGCCCAUGUCCAUGAGCACUGCAGCCAUUCCACUACCAUAAACUCACAUAACAUUGUAGUGACUAUACAGGUGAGUAUGGAAUGCUCUAAGAAUGCUCUAAGAAUGCUCUAAGAAUGCUCAACUGGAAUGCUGUAAGAGUAGAGUUAGACUGGGGAAAUGGCUCCAUGUCAGAGUAGGGUUAGACUGGGGAAAUGGCUCCAUGUCAUUGCAGGGAGAAUACUGAGUAAUUGGGAUAAUGUGAUUUACCUGGAGAGAAGAGUGUAGAGAGACUGAGUGCCUGUGAGUUCCUAUUUCACAGUCUGUUAUCUAAACCCAGCUACCUUAUAAACCAAGCCCGUCAUUCCUCCUGUCCUGGCUGAAAUAUAUUACCACUGAUUGGUUUGGUAAUGGACUAUUUAUCAGUCUGGAUGGGUGAGACUUUACUCUAGAUGUCUGUCUGUCUGUCUGUCUGUCUGUCUGUCUGUCUGUCUGUCUGUCUGUCUGUCUGUCUGUCUGUCUGUCUGUCUGUCUGUCUGUCUGUCU
This 1342-nucleotide long non-coding RNA is filed under the name Salmo salar (Atlantic salmon). RNAcentral's name for it is "lncRNA (ENSSSAG00000082824.1)". The record is from RNAcentral. Lineage: Eukaryota; Metazoa; Chordata; Actinopteri; Salmoniformes; Salmonidae.